This 255-nucleotide ribosomal RNA is filed under the name uncultured bacterium. RNAcentral's name for it is "partial 16S ribosomal RNA". It matches the Rfam family "Bacterial small subunit ribosomal RNA", at positions 524 to 776 of the family's 1533-position model. The record is from RNAcentral.
UACGUAGGGUGCAAGCGUUGUCCGGAAUUAUUGGGCGUAAAGAGCUCGUAGGCGGUCUGUCGCGUCUGCUGUGAAAACUCGGGGCUUAACCCCGGGCCUGCAGUGGGUACGGGCAGACUAGAGUGCGGUAGGGGAGACUGGAAUUCCGUGGUGUAGCGGUGAAAUGCGCAGAUAUCAGGAGGAACACCGAUGGCGAAGGCAGGUCUCUGGGCCACUACUGACGCUGAGAAGCGAAAGACAUGGGGAGCGAACAGG